Molecule: ribosomal RNA, 528 nt
Filed under: uncultured bacterium
Lineage: Bacteria
Description: bacterial SSU rRNA
Rfam family: Bacterial small subunit ribosomal RNA
Source: RNAcentral
UUAUGGCUCAGGACGAACGCUGGCGGCGUGCCUAAUACAUGCAAGUCGAACGGUCUUUCUAUGGAAGCUUGCUUCCACUGAGAAGAUAGUGGCGAACGGGUGAGUAACACGUGGGUAACCUGCCCAUAAGAGGGGGGAUAACAUCCGGAAACGGGUGCUAAUACCGCAUAGUUUUCUUGAUCGCAUGAUCGGGAAAGGAAAGACGGCCUUUGUGCUGUCGCUUAUGGAUGGACCCGCGGCGUAUUAGUUAGUUGGUGAGGUAACGGCUCACCAAGACGAUGAUACGUAGCCGACCUGAGAGGGUGAUCGGCCACAUUGGGACUGAGACACGGCCCAAACUCCUACGGGAGGCAGCAGUAGGGAAUCUUCCGCAAUGGACGAAAGUCUGACGGAGCAACGCCGCGUGAGUGAAGAAGGUUUUCGGAUCGUAAAACUCUGUUGUCGGAGAAGAACAAGUUGGAGAGUAACUGCUCCAGCCUUGACGGUAUCUGACCAGAAAGCCACGGCUAACUACGUGCCAGCCGCCGC